AGUAUAAGCAAUUAUACAGCGAAACUGCGAAUGGCUCAUUAUAUAAGUUAUCGUUUAUUUGAUAGUACCUUACUACUUGGAUAACCGUGGUAAUUCUAGAGCUAAUACAUGCUAAAAAUCCCGACUUCGGAAGGGAUGUAUUUAAUAGAUUAAAAACCAAUGCCCUCUGGGCUCUCUGGUGAUUCAUAAUAACUUCUCGAAUCGCAUGGCCUUGGGCCGGCGAUGGUUCAUUCAAAUUUCUUCCCUAUCAACUUUCGAUGUUUGGGUAGUGGCCAAACAUGGUUGCAACGGGUAACGGAGGGUUAGGGCUCGACCCCGGAGAAGGAGCCUGAGAAACGGCUACUACAUCCAAGGAAGGCAGCAGGCGCGCAAAUUACCCAAUCCCGAUUCGGGGAGGUAGUGACAAUAAAUACUGAUACAGGGCUCUUUUGGGUCUUGUAAUUGGAAUGAGUACAAUUUAAAUCGGUUAACGAGGAACAAUUGGAGGGCAAGUCUGGUGCCAGCAGCCGCGGUAAUUCCAGCUCCAAUAGCGUAUAUUAAAGUUGUUGUGGUUAAAAAGCUCGUAGUUGAACCUUGGGCCUGGCUGGCCGGUCCGCCUCACCGCGUGUACUGGUCCGGCCGGGCCUUUCCCUCUGUGGAACCCCAUGCCCUUCACUGGGUGUG
RNAcentral lists this ribosomal RNA (663 nucleotides) under uncultured fungus. RNAcentral describes it as "SSU rRNA". It matches the Rfam family "Eukaryotic small subunit ribosomal RNA", at positions 62 to 731 of the family's 1831-position model. The record is from RNAcentral. Lineage: Eukaryota; Fungi.